Molecule: long non-coding RNA, 1446 nt
Organism: Micropterus dolomieu (smallmouth bass)
Lineage: Eukaryota; Metazoa; Chordata; Actinopteri; Centrarchiformes; Centrarchidae
Exons: 3
Source: RefSeq, a predicted model, not a curated record
UGCUGAGCUGCACAAUGAUGCUCUGAUGCUAAGCUUUCAACCUGUUACGUUUCUGACUUUACUGACAAACAUAGCUGGCCAGCUACCUUGCUAACACAGCAAACAGAUAUGAUAAGUAUGAGUGAUGUGACAGUUAUCAGCGACAAGUUUAUAUUAGAGUUAUAUUGAAAAGGAGGGUUGUUGUUUAUUGGAUUUCCGGCAAUGUAUUUCAUAUACUAAUUAGACACUUACUGUGAAGACACUGCUCAGCUGUUAUGCACACUGCAUUCUACUACAUGUGCUGCAUUGUGCUUAGAGUAUUGAAGCUAUAGCAACAGCCCACAUUUCCUAUUAUGACCUACCUGGUGCUGAACUGAGUAGUUUGUUAAGUUUGCUGUUUUAUGUUCCAAAAUGCAAAUGUUUCGUUUUGUUAGUGUUUGUAAUGUGUCUGCUGAUACCAAAAUGAAACUGAUGUAUCAGCUAUAUUGGCCGAUAAAAUCGCCUGACCGAUAAAUCAUCUGGGUUCUAGUUUUUGGUCAGUGAUUACAAGAGCAGUAACAAUUUUAUUCAACAUUCCAAUGACUGAGCUAUUAUGAAGAUUGUCUCUGGGUUGCUGUUAAAUCUCAUGCACAUUUCUGUGCUUCACUAUAUUUCAGGUUAAAGAACAACUUGAACUACUUCUAGUGGCUUUGUUAUGUUUGUGAUCUAGGAAUUGAAAGCUUUCAUACAAAGUCCCACUGCAUGACAGCGUCAGGAAAAUGUAAAUGUAGCAACAUGGUACUCAAAAUUCUUUCGCUUUUCAAUGAUUAUUCAUGCUCAGUGUUGUAUUCUGUAUUUUUUCUUUUUCCUCUUUGACCUCCCACCCCUCCUUCCUCUUCAUCUCUCUCCUUUCUUUACUUGCUGCUGAAAUUGUAAUCUGUUGCUUGUGAUCGGCCUUCUAAUCUUGCACAAACUUCCAAAGUGUACAUCAGGGUGUUUUCUCACUGCUCUGGCAUCUUAAUCAACCCGGGUGAUGUCUCCUUCAACCCUCAACUUCCCCAGGAAACAAAGUAAAGCACUCUUCCUCUUCACUCUGUGUUUUCUUGUUGUGGGAAAAAAAACUUUAAGUUCAGGCAGCAUGGAAGUGGAGAUUUGAUGUCCUUUGGAUUCCUAUGCUUAUUCAUUUUGUUCCAUUUUGAGCACUACUGCGACUCACAAGCCAUACAUCUAAAAGUUUCCAUCAGCAGAUUUGGAGCGAAUAAACCAGGCUACACAAAGUUACGUCAGAAGUGGACAUUAUGCAAGGCUGUAAUAAACAAGACCUGGAGGUUGCAAACCACAAACAAAACCAAUCGCAUGGACCAGACCAUGGAUCUGAGAAAAAUGGAGAGAUGUCUUCAGAAAUGUGUUUCAUGUCUGCAAGUUGCUACCAACCAUGCUUCUGCACCUAAUGGGAAUAUCCGAGAAGACGGCGACAGCGGAAACAGC